GUCAAAGGUUAAAGCCAUGGCACCUACACCGCUGGCCUCAUGGCCCAUAUGUCCUAUAGCUGCAAUUAUAAGAGUUGGAUAUAAAAUUUCCACUGCUUCAGUCCUUUCCCAAGGGACUCAACAGUUGAAGGGCACUGCAGCCCCUCUCAUCUUCUGUACAUGUGUGUGCGGAUGCGUAUGUCUCAGAUUACAGGUGACAGUAAAGAGAAUCUUGAGCUUCGAAAACAAGGAGUCCUAUCUGCUUGUCUUGCUUACUGAUAAAUUGGCCAUGCGUAGCUCCAUGCCUUAUACGUGACGGAGUCUCGCUCUUUCGCCCAGGCCGGACUGCAGUGGCGCUGCCUCAGUUCACUGCAAGCUCCGCUUCCCGGAUUCACGCCAUUCUGCUGCCUCAGCCUCCUGAGUAGCUGGGAUUACAGGCGCCAGCCACCGCGCCCGGCUAAUUUUUUGUACUUUUAGUAGAGACAGGAUUUCACCCCGUGUUAGCCAAGAUGGUCUCGGUCUCCUGACCUCGUGAUCUGCCUGCCUCGGCCUCCCAAAGUGGUGGGAUUACAGGCGUAAGCCACCGCGCCCGGCCUGAGCAAUGAAUUUCUUAAUUGCCAAACAUAACACAAUGUUAGUUUUAUCUUUACAUUUGAAAUCUGACUGAUUGCACUAUUGAUGGAGGGCAAACUUUGAAAUUUGGGGGAGUUGCUUAAUCACCAAACACAUGAUCAACCUUUUUAAUGUUCUGUGAAUGCUUGAAAAAAAAAGUUGAUUUGGUGGUUAUUGUAUGCAAUGUUCUAUAAAACUCAAUUUUUUAAAUGUUUAAAUAAUGGUAUUUAUGUUAUAAUAUUUG
Molecule: long non-coding RNA, 835 nt
Filed under: Homo sapiens (human)
Lineage: Eukaryota; Metazoa; Chordata; Mammalia; Primates; Hominidae
Description: HSALNT0386528
Source: RNAcentral